AUUGAACGCUGGCGGAAUGCUUUACACAUGCAAGUCGAACGGUAGAGGGGGCAACCCCUCGAGAGUGGCGAACGGGUGAGUAAUAUAUCGGAACGUGCCCAGUCGUGGGGGAUAACGUAGCGAAAGUUACGCUAAUACCGCAUACGAUCUAAGGAUGAAAGCGGGGGAUCGCAAGACCUCGCGCGAUUGGAGCGGCCGAUAUCAGAUUAGGUAGUUGGUGGGGUAAAGGCUCACCAAGCCAACGAUCUGUAGCUGGUCUGAGAGGACGACCAGCCACACUGGAACUGAGACACGGUCCAGACUCCUACGGGAGGCAGCAGUGGGGAAUUUUGGACAAUGGACGCAAGUCUGAUCCAGCCAUGCCGCGUGCAGGAUGAAGGCCCUCGGGUAGUAAACUGCUUUUGUACGGAACGAAAAGGUCUCUCUUAAUACGGGGGACUCAUGACGGUACCGUAAGAAUAAGCACCGGCUAACUACGUGCCAGCCGCCGCAGUAA
RNAcentral lists this ribosomal RNA (496 nucleotides) under uncultured bacterium. RNAcentral describes it as "partial 16S ribosomal RNA". It matches the Rfam family "Bacterial small subunit ribosomal RNA", at positions 30 to 523 of the family's 1533-position model. The record is from RNAcentral.